CCUACGGGUGGCAGCAGUGAGGAAUAUUGGUCAAUGGGCGUAAGCCUGAAGCAGCCAAGUCGCGUGAGGGAUGAAGGUUCUAUGGAUCGUAAACCUCUUUUAUAAGGGAAUAAAGUGCGGGACGUGUCCCGUUUUGUAUGUACCUUAUGAAUAAGGAUCGGCUAACUCCGUGCCAGCAGCCGCGGUAAUACGGGGGAGGCGAGCGUUAUCCGGAUUUAUUGGGUUUAAAGGGUGCGUAGGCGGGCUGUUAAGUCAGCGGUAAAAGCCCGGGGCGCAACCCCGGCGAGCCGUUGAAACUGGCUGUCUGGAGAGGUCGAGAGGUAUGUGGAAUGCGCAGUGUAGCGGUGAAAUGCUUAGAUAUUGCGCAGAACUCCGAUGGCGAAGGCAGCAUACCGGCGGCGAUCUGACGCUGAGGCACGAAAGCGUGGGUAGCGAACAGGAUUAGAUACCCGAGUAGUC
Molecule: ribosomal RNA, 459 nt
Filed under: uncultured bacterium
Lineage: Bacteria
Description: partial 16S ribosomal RNA
Rfam family: Bacterial small subunit ribosomal RNA
Source: RNAcentral